This 465-nucleotide ribosomal RNA is filed under the name uncultured bacterium. Its description in RNAcentral is "partial 16S ribosomal RNA". It matches the Rfam family "Bacterial small subunit ribosomal RNA", at positions 28 to 507 of the family's 1533-position model. The record is from RNAcentral.
GAUGAACGCUGGCGGCGUGCUUAACACAUGCAAGUCGAACGGAAAGGCUCCUGCUUGCAGGGGUACUCGAGUGGCGAACGGGUGAGUAACACGUGGGUGAUCUGCCCUGCACUUCGGGAUAAGCCUGGGAAACUGGGUCUAAUACCGGAUAGGACGAUGGUUUGGAUGCCAUUGUGGAAAGUUUUUCGGUGUGGGAUGAGCUCGCGGCCUAUCAGCUUGUUGGUGGGGUAAUGGCCUACCAAGUCGUCGACGGGUAGCCGGCCUGAGAGGGUGUACGGCCACAUAGGGAAUGAGAUACGGCACAGACUCAUACGGGAGGAAGCAGUGGGGAAUAUUGCACAAUGGGCGCAAGCCUGAUGCAGCGACGCCGCGUGGGGGAUGAAGGACUUCGGGUUGUAGACUCCUUUCGCUAGGGACGAAGAGCAAGUGACGGUACCUGGAGAAGAAGCACCGGCUAAAUACGUG